This 725-nucleotide ribosomal RNA is filed under the name uncultured Lactobacillus sp. Its description in RNAcentral is "bacterial SSU rRNA". It matches the Rfam family "Bacterial small subunit ribosomal RNA", at positions 55 to 737 of the family's 1533-position model. Lineage: Bacteria; Bacillati; Bacillota; Bacilli; Lactobacillales; Lactobacillaceae. The record is from RNAcentral.
GUGCAAGUCGAACGCGUCUUGGUUAAUGAUGUUAGGUGCUUGCAUUUAACUGAUUUAACAUUGAGACGAGUGGCGAACUGGUGAGUAACACGUGGGUAACCUGCCCUGAAGUGGGGGAUAACACUUGGAAACAGGUGCUAAUACCGCAUAACAACGAAAACCACAUGGUUUUCGUUUGAAAGAUGGCUUCGGCUGUCACUUUUGGAUGGACCCGCGGCGUAUUAGCUUGUUGGUGAGGUAACGGCUCACCAAGGCCAUGAUACGUAGCCGACCUGAGAGGGUAAUCGGCCACAUUGGGACUGAGACACGGCCCAAACUCCUACGGGAGGCAGCAGUAGGGAAUCUUCCACAAUGGACGAAAGUCUGAUGGAGCAACGCCGCGUGAGUGAUGAAGGGUUUCGACUCGUAAAACUCUGUUGUUGGAGAAGAACAGGUGAUAGAGUAACUGUUAUCAUCUUGACGGUAUCCAACCAGAAAGCCACGGCUAACUACGUGCCAGCAGCCGCGGUAAUACGUAGGUGGCAAGCGUUGUCCGGAUUUAUUGGGCGUAAAGCGAGCGCAGGCGGUUUUUUAGGUCUGAUGUGAAAGCCUUCGGCUUAACCGGAGAAGGGCAUCGGAAACCGGGAGACUUGAGUGCAGAAGAGGACAGUGGAACUCCAUGUGUAGCGGUGAAAUGCGUAGAUAUAUGGAAGAACACCAGUGGCUAAGGCGGCUGUCUGGUCUGU